AACUGAAGUAAAAAAAAAAAAUACAAAAAAGGAGAACUCGAGAAAUCUAAGUAGCGACACAAAAACUAUAUUAAAAUAAAAGAAUAAAAAGACUUACUGUCCAGCGUGUCCCAGUCUGUUUUGUCUGAAAAAAAAAAUAAGACAUUACACGGAAAAAUAAAAGCGCACCGAACCCAAAACAGGGUUCUUUAGGAUGAACGCGAUUCGAUGGAGGAUAGAAGCACUCAACACCCAAAGGGUUUUUCAGGAUGAACGCAUAAGGUGUGGUAGCUUUUCUUACCUUUUGCUUUGUGGGAGGAGACGAUUGUGGCGACACAAAUAAACGCUAUGAAACAGAAACCGAAAUACAUGUUGUGCGAACUAGACCUGCCGUGUGUGGGGAACGACGAGAGCUGGAUAAAAUGACAAAGAUAAAACAAAUGUAGCAACGCUACAUAUAACUUAAAUGACAAUUUACCAUUUAUUAAAAGACCAACUAGCACAUAUGUAAAGGUUUUAAUUACUUCAUGUAUGUAACAACUGCGGUUUCACACGUAUUCCGCGAAUCACAGUGCAAGUUUUUCAUAGUAUUUGUAUAGUUAUUGACUCAAACUAAUAAAACGCUAUCAAGAGA
Nematostella vectensis (starlet sea anemone) is the source of this 613-nucleotide long non-coding RNA. RefSeq lists it as uncharacterized. NCBI's taxonomy places the organism in Eukaryota, Metazoa, Cnidaria, Anthozoa, Actiniaria, Edwardsiidae. The transcript has 3 exons. The record is from RefSeq and is a predicted model, not a curated record.